UAGAUGGAUGUUACCCAGAUUGCCCCCAU
Molecule: non-coding RNA, 29 nt
Filed under: Mus musculus (house mouse)
Lineage: Eukaryota; Metazoa; Chordata; Mammalia; Rodentia; Muridae
Source: RNAcentral